RNAcentral lists this transfer RNA (71 nucleotides) under Ilyoplax serrata. RNAcentral's name for it is "tRNA-Val". The record is from RNAcentral. Lineage: Eukaryota; Metazoa; Arthropoda; Malacostraca; Decapoda; Dotillidae.
CAAAGUAUAGCUAAAUAGAAAGCAUUUCAGUUACGUUGAAAAGGACUACCGUGCAAGUCGGUUUACUUUGA